This 97-nucleotide non-coding RNA is filed under the name Neoaquamicrobium sediminum. RNAcentral describes it as "Pyrrolysine insertion sequence mttB". It matches the Rfam family "Pyrrolysine insertion sequence mttB". Lineage: Bacteria; Pseudomonadati; Pseudomonadota; Alphaproteobacteria; Hyphomicrobiales; Phyllobacteriaceae. The record is from RNAcentral.
GGCCGAUUCCAAGCUGCCCGACGCUCAGUCAGGUUACGAGAAGGGCAUCACCGACGUGAUGGCGGGCCUUUCCGGGCUCAAUCUGGUCUACGAGUCG